GCCGAGGACAGAGGAGGAACAGGGAAGGCAAGCCGGAGGAGGGGGAGGAGAGACAAAGCAAAAAGUCAUGGAUAGCACCUGCUCAGUAUGUGCGACCUUGCCUUGGAUUUUGGAAAUAGAGAGUUGACGCUGGGAAGUCCCCACUUUGCAUUCACCAGACCUCCUACACCUGUGUCUGCACCUGUUCUGGCCCUUCCUGGGCCACACUUCCCAGAUUCUGUCUGGCCCCCAGGCCAGGCCAUGGAUUUAUUUUGGAUCAGAAAUGCUGGUCUCAGAAGACUCCAGGGAGACUCGGAGUACAGGGAUUUGCUGGGUGCCAGGGCAGGUGGCAUUCCAAGCUGGUGGGACCCAGUCGGACUGGUUGGUGAAUCUACGUAUAGGAAUAGCAACAAAAGAUAAAAAUCCUUGGAAACUAAGGGAGGAAGCAGAAAAUUGGUCUUUAUUUGCUGAUCUGUCUAUUCUUGGGAAAUGGAAACACAGAGGCUGCACCUUUGGAAGUGUGACUGGAAGACUUAACUGGGAAUUCAUAAGUUACAUAUUUAGUUCCACUCACUGAACUCAGCAUAUGAUCAAUGACAUUGAUUUUGUGGUGCUGGGGAUUGAACCCAGAGCUUUAUGCAUGCUAAACAAGUAGUCUAUGACUAAGGUAUAUCCCUGGGCUCUAUAUGCAUCCAUUAUUAGUCAAUAAAUAAACAAUAACAAUAUUAGCAGUCAAUGAAUUUGUCACCACCAGUAUGAACUAUUAAUAUUUUUAUGUCAUCUCACAGUGUUGCAGAUACUACAAAAUUUAAUCUGUGUUCAUCACUACAGUAUAUUAAAUUAUGCUAGCUAUCAUACUCACCGUUAGAUCUGGACAUUUAGUGUAUUGCUAAGAAAGCAAUAUAUCAUGAAACUAGUAUAUCAUGAAACUUUUUGAAUAUUUGGAUAAUACAGUAAUUAUAGACCAAUAUAUUUCUUUAUGUAUUCAAAUUCAUUAUUGUUUGAGAAACAAAAAUAGAAAAGGGAUCCUGACAAAUGACAUAGAUAAUUCUCAAAAGAGGAUGUACCAGUGCCCAACAUCUAUGUGAAAAAUGCUCAGCAUCACUAAUCAUCAAAGAUAUGAAAAUCAAGAUCACAAAGAAUUAUUAUCCAACCACAAUUAGAAUGGCAUCAAAGGGCAAAACAAUAGCAGAUUCCAGUGAGGACUGGAGAAAGGAAAACUGUAUUGCUAGUGGAGGUGCAAAUUAGUAGAGUCAUUAUGGAAAGCAGUAUAGAGAUUCCUCAACAACCUAGGGUAGAACUAUUGUAUGAUCUAGCAAUCCCACUACUGAGUAUAUAUUCAAAGUUAUUUUUCCCUUUUUUUUUUUUUUUUUGGUACCAAGGAUUGAACUCAGACCUUGCGCUUGCAAGGCAGGAGGCAAAACCCCUGAGCUAAAUCCCUGGCCCCAAAGUCAUUAAUAUCAGUAUGUCAAAAAGGCAUCUGUACUUGCAUCUUUAUUGCAGCACUAGCCACGAUAUCCAGGAUAUAGUCAACUUAGGUGUCCAGUGAAUGUAUGCAUAAAGAAAACAUGGUAUAUAACUUGUACACACAAUAGAACACUACUGUUUAGCCAUAAAAAGCAACAUGGACAGCAGUGGAGGACAUCAUGUUAAGUGAAAUAAGUCAGGCAUUAAAAGACAAAUAUUACAUGUUCUCACUUAUAUCCAGAUGGAAAAAGUUGAUCUCAUAUAAGCAGAGAAUAAAGUACAAUACUGGUUACCAGAGCCUGGGAAGGGUUUGGGGGAAGAAAAGAUGGAGACAAGACAGUAAAUGUGUGCAGGGGUGCAGUUGUAUAGGGCAAAUAACCUCUAACUUUCUGUAGCACAGUAGUUGGCAAUAAUUGAUUGAAUAUUUCAAAAAUAGCUAAUUUGGAAGAUCUCAAACGUUCCCAGCACAAAGAAAUGUCAAAUGUCUGAGGUG
RNAcentral lists this long non-coding RNA (1939 nucleotides) under Heterocephalus glaber (naked mole-rat). Its description in RNAcentral is "lncRNA (ENSHGLG00100045635.1)". Lineage: Eukaryota; Metazoa; Chordata; Mammalia; Rodentia; Bathyergidae. The record is from RNAcentral.